Molecule: transfer RNA, 75 nt
Filed under: Caudoviricetes sp.
Lineage: Duplodnaviria; Heunggongvirae; Uroviricota; Caudoviricetes
Description: tRNA-Ile
Rfam family: tRNA
About the family: Transfer RNA (tRNA) molecules are approximately 80 nucleotides in length. Their secondary structure includes four short double-helical elements and three loops (D, anti-codon, and T loops).
Source: RNAcentral
GGUCUUUUAGCUCAGUUUGGUCAGAGCAUACGAUUGAUAAUCGUAGGGUCAGUAGUUCAAAUCUACUAAGGACCA